AUAAAAAAAAUAUUUAUUUAAAUAUAAAUAUAUGUUAGCAUUAAGGAGUAUGUAAAAGAGUGGGCGUUUUCUAUAAACACAUUUCUCCAAAGAAAAUAAACCUCCAUAUCUCAAAACUUAAUUUCAUUUUUUUCCUGUGGUAAUACCUCUUCUUUAUCUCUCUAUAGGGGCUUUCUUUCUCUCUCUUCCUCUCUCUCUCUCUCUCUCUCUUUCACGCAGUCGACGAUUAAUCCAAAAUCGGGUCGUCGGCUUCAUACCGAAUCGGACCUUGUUAACCCCAGCACCCGGUGAAUCUUAGCCACCGCCGCCGACACGCGUAAUCGGAAACCUGAAACCCCGUAAUAGCCCUCCGGAACCUUGAAAUGAUAUAGAUUGUAUAUCAACGAAAACCGUUUCUAUUCUUUCGCCGCCGGUGAUUUCGUUUCCGGCGAUUGAACAGGUGCGCACGAUUUUGAACCUGCGCACUCUUCCUGUGUUGAUUGUUUCGUAAUUGUGAAACCUUUUUACGUAAUCGGCCAAACUGUAUUUUUUUUCUCUGGAACUGCAAGUGUUCGGUAUUCCUUUGCAUCAUCGGCUUCUUGUUCCUCCUCGAAUUUUCUGUUUCUGCUCAAACUAUUGUCAAUUUAGGGUUUCUGAUUACGAAAUUGGGAUUAUUCUUUCGUUUUAGGGUUUGUACAAUCAACUUUUUGGCGGCCUUAGUGGCCGAUUCUGUUUGAUUUUGAGCUUCGAGUCAUGGAUCUAUAGAUUGCUUUGUUUAAUCUGUUCGAUUCGCUUCUUUUGUGUUCUGUUGAUUUCUUCGAUUGAUACAAUCAGAUUCAGUUCAAAUUUUUGAUCGUUUCCUGCUUAGAGUGGAGUGUGCCUGGGAAUUGAGUUGUUUGAAAUCUUGCUCUACUCGAACUGCGUUCUUUACUGAUUUCAUGUACCGUUCAGUUGUUUAUGUUGACAAAACACUAAGAAAAAGCUUGUGUUGUGUUGUUUCUGGAUUGAACUUGGAGUUUCCCUUAGUGCCGUUAUUCUUAUCAACUCAAACAACGUCCAAACUUCUAAACAUGUGUGUCUUGGA
Molecule: long non-coding RNA, 1063 nt
Filed under: Carica papaya (papaya)
Lineage: Eukaryota; Viridiplantae; Streptophyta; Magnoliopsida; Brassicales; Caricaceae
Description: long non-coding RNA (CPAP_LNC007272)
Source: RNAcentral